AAUGUCUUAAAAUAAUAGUUGUCAACAGGGGUUAAGUAACAAUCCAAAAUUACUUGGCAGUUCAAUACUUGAUGUGAACUAAGAAGCAUGGGCACUCUUAUUAGGAUACAGUGUCUUUGUGUGACACGUAUUGUGUAGGGUUGGACACAAAUUUUCCUCAGACACAAGACAUGUGACCAAUAUACCGUAUGGCAUAUCCUGUUUUUUUUCUACAAGUUUAACUUAAAGUAUUAUUGUCAGCAUGAAACCCGCAAACAUACAGGAUCGUUGUAUAC
RNAcentral lists this long non-coding RNA (275 nucleotides) under Olea europaea (common olive). RNAcentral's name for it is "long non-coding RNA (OEUR_LNC015053)". Lineage: Eukaryota; Viridiplantae; Streptophyta; Magnoliopsida; Lamiales; Oleaceae. The record is from RNAcentral.